Molecule: small RNA, 125 nt
Filed under: Marmota monax (woodchuck)
Lineage: Eukaryota; Metazoa; Chordata; Mammalia; Rodentia; Sciuridae
Source: RNAcentral
GCUAGGCACAGGGCCGCAUGCCUGUAAUCCCAGCAGCUUGGGAGGCUGAGGCAGGAGGAUCUCAAGUACAAAGCCAGCCUCAGCAACAUCAAGGUGCUAAGCAACUCAGUGAGACCCUGUCUCUA